AUUGAACGCUGGCGGCAGGCCUAACACAUGCAAGUCGCACGAGUGGCGGACGGGUGAGUAAUGUCUGGGAAACUGCCUGAUGGAGGGGGAUAACUACUGGAAACGGUAGCUAAUACCGCAUACCAUCAGAUGUGCCCAGAUGGGAUUAGCUAGUAGGUGGGGUAAUGGCUCACCUAGGCGACGAUCCCUAGCUGGUCUGAGAGGAUGACCAGCCACACUGGAACUGAUGCACGGUCCAGACUCGUACGGGAGGCGGCAGUGGGGAAUAGUGCACAAUGGGCGCAAGCCUAAUGCAGCCAUGCCGCGUGUAUGACGAAGGCCUUCGGGUUGUAAAGUACUUUCAGCGGGGAGGCGUUACCCGCAGAAGAAGCACCGGCUAACUCCGUGCCAGCCGCCGCGGUAAUAC
RNAcentral lists this ribosomal RNA (406 nucleotides) under uncultured bacterium. Its description in RNAcentral is "partial 16S ribosomal RNA". It matches the Rfam family "Bacterial small subunit ribosomal RNA", at positions 30 to 526 of the family's 1533-position model. The record is from RNAcentral.